UACGGGGGGGGCAAGCGUUGUUCGGAAUUACUGGGCGUAAAGGGCUCGUAGGUGGCCAACUAAGUCAGACGUGAAAUCCCUCGGCUUAACCGGGGAACUGCGUCUGAUACUGGAUGGCUUGAGUUUGGGAGAGGGAUGCGGAAUUCCAGGUGUAGCGGUGAAAUGCGUAGAUAUCAGGAGGAACACCGGUGGCGAAGGCGGUUCUCUGGGCAUUACCUGACGCUGAGGAGCGAAAGCAUGGGGAGCGAACAGG
RNAcentral lists this ribosomal RNA (253 nucleotides) under uncultured bacterium. RNAcentral's name for it is "partial 16S ribosomal RNA". It matches the Rfam family "Bacterial small subunit ribosomal RNA", at positions 524 to 776 of the family's 1533-position model. The record is from RNAcentral.